CAGCGCCACGAGUGGCAAUCGCGAUUAUUGGGCCUAAAGCGUCCGUAGCCGGACAGGUGAAUCCGCUGUGAAAUCGUCGCGCUCAACGUGACGGCACGCACUGGACACUGCCUGUCUCGAGACCGGGAGGAGUCAGAGGUAUGCCGUGGGGACUGGUAAAAUGGAAUAAUCCGCGGUAGACCACCAAUGGCGAAGGCAUCUGACGAGAACGGAUCUGACGGUGAGGGACGAAAGCCAGGGGAGCGAACCGGAUUAGAUACCCGCGUAGUCC
RNAcentral lists this ribosomal RNA (271 nucleotides) under uncultured archaeon. Its description in RNAcentral is "partial 16S ribosomal RNA". It matches the Rfam family "Archaeal small subunit ribosomal RNA", at positions 477 to 747 of the family's 1478-position model. The record is from RNAcentral.